This 253-nucleotide ribosomal RNA is filed under the name uncultured bacterium. Its description in RNAcentral is "partial 16S ribosomal RNA". It matches the Rfam family "Bacterial small subunit ribosomal RNA", at positions 524 to 776 of the family's 1533-position model. The record is from RNAcentral.
UACAGAGGGUGCAAGCGUUACUCGGAAUUACUGGGCGUAAAGCGUGCGUAGGCGGUUAUUUAAGUCGGGUGUGAAAGCCCCGGGCUCAACCUGGGAAUUGCAUUCGAGACUGAAUAGCUAGGGUGCGGAAGAGGGAAGCGGAAUUUCCGGUGUAGCGGUGAAAUGCGUAGAUAUCGGAAGGAACACCAGUGGCGAAAGCGGCUUCCUGGUCCAGCACCGACGUUCAGGCACGAAAGCGUGGGGAGCAAACAGG